Molecule: ribosomal RNA, 253 nt
Filed under: uncultured bacterium
Lineage: Bacteria
Description: partial 16S ribosomal RNA
Rfam family: Bacterial small subunit ribosomal RNA
Source: RNAcentral
UACAGAGGGGACAAACGUUGUCCGGAAUUAUUGGGCGUAAAGGGCGCGUAGGUGGUUGAGUAAGUCAGGUGUGAAAGCUCUGGGCUUAACCCAGGAAUUGCAUCUGAUACUGCUCGGCUUGAGUACGGUAGAGGAGGGUGGAAUUCCCAGUGUAGCGGUGAAAUGCGUAGAUAUUGGGAGGAACACCGGUGGCGAAGGCGGCCCUCUGGACCGAAACUGACACUGAAGCGCGAAAGCUAGGGGAGCAAACGGG